GCCAGCGGCGAGCACUGGCUUGCUUCACAGUGAACGCCUUCGUUGCCUGGCGACUAGUCCCUGCGGCUUAGCGGAGAGGGGGCGUCGGCGUUGGGCUCUCGCCUGUCUUCUCUGGGGGGAUCCUCGGGAUACUCCCACGAUCUAGGACAGGGCAGGGGCGAGCCAGCCUGAGGAAACGUCAAGGGAAGGCCCAGGGAUACACCGCGAAAUCCCUAAGAAUCCAAAAGGAUCCGCAGGAGGCGUCAGGCCUGCCUAGACGGAGUGGGUAGCACUUAGCACCUGCCCGCCCUCCACCUUCUCCACCACCCAGCAGGAGCGGGGCGGCCUGGAUCUGUUUUCUGCCCCUGACCAGGGGGCCGCGUCUUCGGCAAAGUCUUCGGGGUGAGAGGUCCGGCUCCUGGAGGACAGCGGGAUGGGAGAGUCCCGUUCACACCCAGCCCCGCAGAGCCGGAUAGAAACGCUGCCACUGCCGACUCCAUGCUGCCGGGAAGUGCACUGUGGAGGCCACUUUCUGGAAAGAAGAAACCGUCUGAACACAAAGUUGCUCAAGCCAUGUUCAUCUAUCUGCCAGGGAAACGGAGGCCCUGAGUGCCAGAGUCCAAGUCACCCUGCAAGAGAAAACUCUGGUGGAGCCCAGGGUGUCCAGCCCCUGUCCACCCAGCCGCCGUGGUCAAGGUUAAUAAGGGCAAGGGGCCAAGCAGAACCGCCUACAAGGAACCGAGUGUCCACAAAGCAGGAAGCGAAGAACGUUUCUCCUACCUAGAGCGCAGCCGUUUUGCGGAAGGCACAGUCCGGGCUCCGGGAGCCAAGCAGGGAUCCGGGCCUCGUUGCGGAGGGGACGCCCGGGCUGAGCUGAGCUCACUUGCUGGCGGCGGCAGCCCCUGCAGUCAUGGGGUCACCGGCUUGUGGAGAGGGGCUGGCGCUGUUCCUUGGCCCCGCUCCCCGCCCGCAAAGGGCCGGGAGGUCGGGCUCCCGGCAGUGUCCAGGCUCUCGCCCGCCGGUGCCUGAGCCGUACCCACCGCGUCCCCUCCGCCCCAACAGCUGGUGCUGAGGGUCCGGCCCGGGGUCAUCUGGCAGGGCCGUGCGGCUCCUGCGGGUGACCAGGAGCGCGGAGCCCCUUCCCACUCGGGCUCGGGUGGCCUCACCUUUCCUGGGGCUGCGUCCCCGCGGGACGCCAGGUUCCCGGUUUCUUCUAGGUCGCCCUGGUUCCUGGCAGCUCCUGGUGCCACGCGGUCCUCUACGGUCUCCUCUGACCUGAGAGGGACAGUGAGAUGGGGCUGGCGGGGAUGGGGGUCCCCGCGCUGUUGGAAAGCAGCGGGGCUGCUGCUGACCGGAGCCGCCUGGGUCUGUUCUGGAACCGUCGCCCUGGGGCCCCUCCGCCCCGCAAACGCUCGGGAUGCGGUUUGGGAGUGUAGCUGGACACCGAGCACCAUCCACGCUCAGCCCCACGGGGCUCCAGGAGUCCCGAGCCCAAGCCCCUGCACUUGCAUUUUAUUUAAAAAACCUGAGGGUUAAAUUCGGGCAAGUCAGUUGCCUCAGUGUUUGUCGCCUGCUGCCUCUAUGUCGGCUUCUUUUGCUGGCAGUCAGAGACCAAGCCCCCACGCCCUCCAGGACCCUCUAUCUGGUGAGGCCACCUCUGCAAUCAUGAGCAGCACUGAGGUGCUUCCGACCAGGGGUCACUGCCCCAGCCGGUGAGAGGCCCUGCAGUGGGGACUGGAGAUGUGCGACGCAGCCUCCCAGAGCCCGCAUCCUCUUGCCCAAGGAGGCUGCACACCCUCACUCAGGGCUGUGAGGGGGAAUGAGGGCAGCUCACAGGCUAAGGGGCCGCUGAAGACAGGUUUUGUGGACAGGUGAUUUAGGAGCCUGGAGGAAGCAGGUUAGGGGUGUGUGUGUGUGUGUGUGUGUGUGUGUGUGUGAGAGAGAGAGAGAGGGAAUUCUCCCAUGCCAGGACAUCUGCGUGUCUCAGUAGAGUAGGAGUGAACAGCAGCAUCCCUGCAGAGGAGCAGCAUGUGGACAGAGUCACAGGCUGGCUGGAUCACAACAAAUCCUUGUGGGUCAAGGAGAGCAGGUUCCGUGAUCAGCUGCGGUCUGGGUUUUGUGUUUGCCUUUUCCUGCUGUUCCAAUAAGCCAGGGCACUGGGGCCAGAUUGCCCUCAGCCAUGGCCAAGGGUUCCCUGACAAGCUGGGGAGGACGAACUCCCUUCCCAACACAGGGACAUAGAAGAUCAGAGCAGCCUGCCCAGUGGGGAUCUGAGCUCAGAGAGUGGAAGCCACUGUCUCAGAGUCACAGAGCAGGUCAGUGGCAGGUCCCAUGUCCCUGACCCCCAAGCUCUAUUUCUCUGAGGAAAUAUUCCAUCCAAGAGCAUGAGAGUCCUCUGAGCAUGGACUCCCUGGCAGGUGAGGUCAUUUUACCUGUUAUCUGUUUUCAUCCUCAUUGUGUGUGUGGUUUGUAUCAGUGUCCCCAUUGUAAGGCAGAAAACAGGCUCAGUGAUGGGGCAAAGGCUGGUGCAAGGCUACAGAGCUCAGAAGUGGCUGAGGUGAGACAAGAACCAGCAGGCUUCCUUCACCGUUGCUCUGCUCCAUCUGGAGGUUGGACAAUUUGCCUGUGUGCCAACAGCCACAAGCCUUUGUUGGCUCAGGGUAGAUAUGAAAACCUGGAAACCAUGAAGCUUUCAGCCCCACUCAUUUCUGCAGGGGCAGAUGGCUGUGCUUGGCCUGGGCUCCCCAUUGCUCAAAAUAGAGCCUCCUCUUUCUGCCAGUGGUCCCAGAAAUGAGUCACAGGUGGGUGAGGUUGCAGCCAGGCCUGGGCAGGAUGAUGUCUUCUGGGCUAGGCUGAAAACUCAAGCCUUGCAGCUGGACAAGUUAUGACUUUGGUUCUGCCUCAGUCACUCCGAGGCUGGACAACUCUGGCCAUAUCUCUCUGUAAGCUGUGGUUUCCUUAUCUUUAAAAUGGAGACAAUGGCACCUCUCUCCCAGAGUAGCCACUGGGGCUUAAUAAAGCCUCAGCAUGAGAAGAUGGUGUAUUUGUAUUUGUGAGUUUUCCUUGGUCUAUGGUGACCUUCCUGUGGGUAAGAACCAAGUAUCACUUGGCUCAGGACCCAGACAGGCACAGCACAGCCAGAACCAGAGGGGCCUAGGCCUGGGUAUGAUUGGAAUCCAGGCAUCUGGCCCAGUUUUUCUGGCUCUGUCUCCUUCCCCAUCUUUUCCAAACUGGUCCAAGGAUCAGAUUUGCCAUGUCACCCAGACAUCGUUGUGGCCCUGUCUGAACAAGCAGCAUCAGAAUUUCUCUGGUGCCAGCUGGAUGACUCAGAGAGAAAAACUGGUCACCAAUUUCUGCUUCAAGUGGGUAGGGAAGAAAGCUACCACUUGCAGCUACUUAUUAUGUAUCACCAGCCAGGCACUUUUCCUACUUAGUGGUCACCUCAGCUAAGUCAUAAAGACACAGAAAAGAGUGCCUUGCCCCAGGUUCACAGCUGAUAAGUGGGGUGUGGGAGAGGAGGUGCUGAAAUCCACAUUUAUCUAAACCUUUCAGACCCAUGUGCAUUUCUCCAUUUUUACCACAUUGUCCCCUCCUUGGUGACAGCCUGGGCUGCUGCUCCUGCCUCUCACUGGCCUCUCUGCCUCCAAGCUGCCUGUGCCUUAGGAAGCUCCAUGUUGCACUUUCAAACCAGCAGCCCAAUCCAUCCCUCACCUACUUGUGCCUUUCAAUGACUCUCAUUGUCCUCAGAAAAUGACCCUGGCUCCUAGGUGUCCACACCUCUGUGGCCCUGAGCAGGCUGACAGAAAUAAAACUGCAUGCCUCCUUUCCUUCCAGUGAAAAGAAAUCACUGGAUAUUGCAACAAAAUUUAAACUUAUCAUUUGGGAGAAAUCAGAGUAUCCUCUUUCAUAGACAAAAAAAACAGUAUUCAACCCUAAAAGGAAAGAAAACAAUUCUCUUGAAUGCUGCCACACUUGGAAAAACAAUGGAAAAUAAACACUGGAACCAGCUAGACCUGCCAGAGUUGCUGAGGGAGGAUUAAAUGAGUUAUUAUGUAAUUUGCUUAGCAACAGUGCUUGGCUCAUAGUUAGUGCUCAGUAAUAUCAGCUAUUCUUUUUUUUAUUGUAAAUAGAAGAGAAGCUAGGAAUGAAUCCAUGACCUUGGAUGGGCAUCCUCUGUCUUCCCCAGGACAGGGGUUCAGUGUCAUUUUCCAGGAACCUAAUGAAGCAGCCUUGUUCUUCUGGGGUGAUACCCGAGAUUUGUUGCCUAAUGGUCAUAAAAAACUAGGAUGUGGACACACAAGAGUGAGGUUAAGAGCAGAAGUUUAAUAGGUGGAAGAAAGAGAAAAGCUCCCUGUGCUGCAGAGAGAGGGGUCCCAAAUGGGCUGCAGGAUCCACAGUGAAAUGCAUGGGAUUUUAUAGAUGCCUGAUGAGGGGGGCGGUGUUUGAUUUACACAGGGCACGAAAGAUUGGUUGGACCAGGUAUGUCAUUUGCAUGGAGCAUGAAAAAUUGGUUAGAGGUAUGUCAUUUGCAUGGAUUACGGAAAAUUUGCAUAGGUGGCAAAUUUGUGUCCACUCCCACCCUAAUCUUGUAUUAUGUAAGUGGGUCUUAAGUGGGUCUUCUUCCUGAGCUGCAUCAUAUUGCCCAUUCCUUUACUCUACAUGUAGUAACAACAACAACAACAAAAAUGGAGCCUCUGUGUUGGACAUGCCUGGCCCACAGGUAGCCCUUUUCUAUUGGCACAGCUGCCGGCAUUCACCCUUCCAAGCUUCCAGCUUGCUUAUCUAUGUUUGCAGCUCCAUUUUUCAGGCUGAUCUUUGUUAGUAAAGAAAAAAAAAAAUUUGUCUUCCUUUUGCUAAAGGGAAGCUCUGCCAAGUACUCUUUUAUGCUCACUGUCUGUCAAAUAUUUUUUUUCUACUUUCUGUAUCAUUAAGACUCAUCAUCACUCAGAGACAACCAAACACUGUGACAUUUUGAUAUAACCCUUUCCAAAAGUGUAUAUUUUUCACAGUUUUGAGCACGCAUUGCAUACCAUUUUUUCACUGAACACAAUCUAUCAUGAACAUCUUUCCAUAACUUAAAAGAAGCUGCAUGCCAGAACAGUCCAUCAUGUUCUGUUUUCUUUCAGAAAUCUUUAGAGAUGGAUCAUUUUCCUUACAAGAAUAGAUACCAGGUAAGAGAAGCAGCCUUUAAAGCAGCGAAUAGCAGCUCAUGCAUGCUAAUUAUUUGCUUACUUCUCUGGCUCCCCUAUUGAUGGCAUCUUGAGGGCCGGUAUGAACAUGUCAUGCAGUCUCCAAGCAACCCACAGUAGGCCCACCAUAAACAGAUGUUGUGGCCAGCAUGGGAGGUGCAAUGGUGAGUUGCUCUGUUUCCUCCCUCCCGUCCCCCUCCCCACCCCUCCCCUCCCCCUCCCCUCCCCCUCCCCUCCCUUCCCCUUCCCUUCCCUUCCUCUCUCACAAAACAGUCACAGAGAGAGGACAGCAGCGUACAUGGUGAGGUGCUGACGAUUCUGGUCCACUGGAUCCCACCAUCCCUAGGACAGUAAAUACCGUCCUAGUCACUACCCAGCAAGUUACCACCGCAUCAUUUCCUGCAUGUUCCAAAAUGAAUAAAGACGGAAUCUUGCUCUGUCGCCCAGACUGGAGUGCAGUGGCGCAAUCUCAGCUCACUUCAAGCUCUGCCUCCCAGUUUCACGCCAUUCUCCUGCCUCAGCCUCCCGAGUAGCUGGGACUACAGGCGCCCGCCACCACACCCAGCUAAUUUUUUGUAUUUUUAGUAGAGACGGGGUUUCACUGUGCUGGCCAGCAUGGUCUCGAUCUCCUGAGCUCGUGAUCCACCCGCCUCGGCCUCCCAAAGUGCUGGGAUUACAGGCAUGAGCCACCGUGCCCAGCCAAAAAGCUGAUGUGUUUUAAGCAAAAUAAGCAUACGCAUCAAUAGUAAA
This 5918-nucleotide long non-coding RNA is filed under the name Homo sapiens (human). RNAcentral describes it as "non-protein coding lnc-ZNF273-1:6". Lineage: Eukaryota; Metazoa; Chordata; Mammalia; Primates; Hominidae. The record is from RNAcentral.